RNAcentral lists this ribosomal RNA (420 nucleotides) under uncultured bacterium. RNAcentral's name for it is "bacterial SSU rRNA". It matches the Rfam family "Bacterial small subunit ribosomal RNA", at positions 356 to 773 of the family's 1533-position model. The record is from RNAcentral.
GAGGAAUAUUGGUCAAUGGGUGCAAGCCUGAACCAGCCAUCCCGCGUGAAGGAUUAAGGUCCUAUGGAUUGUAAACUUCUUUUGUAUAGGGAUAAACCUACCCUCGUGAGGGUAGCUGAAGGUACUAUACGAAUAAGCACCGGCUAACUCCGUGCCAGCAGCCGCGGUAAUACGGAGGGUGCAAGCGUUAUCCGGAUUUAUUGGGUUUAAAGGGUCCGUAGGCGGACUUAUAAGUCAGUGGUGAAAUCCUUUCGCUUAACGAUAGAACUGCCAUUGAUACUGUAAGUCUUGAGUAUAUUUGAGGUAGCUGGAAUAAGUAGUGUAGCGGUGAAAUGCAUAGAUAUUACUUAGAACACCAAUUGCGAAGGCAGGUUACCAAGAUAUAACCGACGCUGAGGGACGAAAGCGUGGGUAGCGAAC